This 353-nucleotide ribosomal RNA is filed under the name Lampris immaculatus (southern opah). RNAcentral describes it as "partial 12S ribosomal RNA". It matches the Rfam family "Bacterial small subunit ribosomal RNA", at positions 801 to 1360 of the family's 1533-position model. Lineage: Eukaryota; Metazoa; Chordata; Actinopteri; Lampriformes; Lampridae. The record is from RNAcentral.
AAACUUUGAUAGGCUCCUACACAUCUAUCCGCCAGGGGAUUACGAGCAUCAGCUUAAAACCCAAAGGACUUGGCGGUACCUUAGACCCCCCUAGAGGAGCCUGUCCUAGAACCGAUACUCCCCGUCUAACCUCACCACCCCUAGCCCCAACCGCCUAUAUACCGCCGCCGCCAGCUUACCCCGUGAGGGAAUAGAAGUAAGCGAGACUGGUAAAGCCAAAAACGUCAGGUCGAGGUGUAGCGUAUGGGGUGGGAAGCAAUGGGCUACAUUCUCUGAUCCAGAAUAUACGAAAAGGGUGUUGAAAACACACCCCUAAAGGAGGAUUUAGCAGUAAGGGGAAAACAGAGUGUCCC